ACAGGGUGACAGGUGGUGCAUGGUUGUCGUCAGCUCGUGUCGUGAGAUGUUGGGUUAAGUCCCGCAACGAGCGCAACCCUCGACCUUAGUUGCCAGCAUUCAGUUGGGCACUCUAAGGUGACUGCCGGCUAAAAGUCGGAGAAGGUGGGGAUGACGUCAAAUCAUCAUGCCCCUUAUGACCUGGGCUACACACGUGCUACAAUGGGCGGUACAAAGGGUCGCGAACCCGCGAGGGGGAGCCAAUCCCAAAAAGCCGCUCUCAGUUCGGAUUGCAGGCUGCAACUCGCCUGCAUGAAGCCGGAAUCGCUAGUAAUCGCGGAUCAGCAUGCCGCGGUGAAUACGUUCCCGGGCCUU
Molecule: ribosomal RNA, 354 nt
Filed under: uncultured Anoxybacillus sp.
Lineage: Bacteria; Bacillati; Bacillota; Bacilli; Caryophanales; Anoxybacillaceae
Description: bacterial SSU rRNA
Rfam family: Bacterial small subunit ribosomal RNA
Source: RNAcentral